This 473-nucleotide ribosomal RNA is filed under the name uncultured bacterium. Its description in RNAcentral is "partial 16S ribosomal RNA". It matches the Rfam family "Bacterial small subunit ribosomal RNA", at positions 29 to 523 of the family's 1533-position model. The record is from RNAcentral.
AAUGAACGCUGGCGGCAUGGAUUAGGCAUGCAAGUCGAACGUACUCCCUUCGGGGAGAAAGUGGCGAAAGGGUGAGUAACACGUGAGCAGCCUGCCUCCGGAUCCGGAAUAAUCCAGGGAAACUUGGUCUAAAACCGGAUGAAGACAUUGGUCCGCAUGGUCUGGUGUUAAAAUAUUUAUAGUCCGGAGAGGGGCUCGCGGCCCAUUAGCUUGUUGGCGGGGUAAUGGCCCACCAAGGCUAUGACGGGUAGGUGGUCUGAGAGGAUGGUCACCCACACUGGGACUGAGACACUGCCCAGACUCCUACGGGAGGCUGCAGUCGAGAAUCUUCCGCAAUGGGCGCAAGCCUGACGGAGCGAUGCCGCGUGAGGGAUGAAGGCCUUCGGGUUGUAAACCUCUGUCAUCCGGGACGAAAACAAUGACGGUACCGGAAAAGGAAGCCACGGCUAACCACGUGCCAGCCGCCGCGGUAA